GACGAACGCUGGCGGCGUGCCUAAUACAUGCAAGUAGAACGCUGAAGGAGGAGCUUGCUUCUCCGGAUGAGUUGCGAACGGGUGAGUAACGCGUAGGUAACCUGCCUGGUAGCGGGGGAUAACUAUUGGAAACGAUAGCUAAUACCGCAUAAGAGUAGAUGUCGCAUGACAUUUGCUUAAAAGGUGCAACUGCACCACUACCAGAUGGACCUGCGUUGUAUUAGCUAGUUGGUGAGGUAACGGCUCACCAAGGCAACGAUACAUAGCCGACCUGAGAGGGUGAUCGGCCACACUGGGACUGAGACACGGCCCAGACUCCUACGGGAGGCAGCAGUAGGGAAUCUUCGGCAAUGGACGGAAGUCUGACCGAGCAACGCCGCGUGAGUGAAGAAGGGUUUCGGAUCGUAAAGCUCUGUUGUAAGAGAAGAACGAGUGUGAGAGUGGAAAGUUCACACUGUGACGGUAUCUUAACAGAAAGGGACGGCUAACUACGUG
Molecule: ribosomal RNA, 495 nt
Filed under: uncultured bacterium
Lineage: Bacteria
Description: partial 16S ribosomal RNA
Rfam family: Bacterial small subunit ribosomal RNA
Source: RNAcentral